UCCAUUCUUUCGCAAAAGAUACAGAUCCAAAGGCAGCGGCCACUCCCGCCCCAUCCGUUCUUAAGUUGAAAGCGUUAUUCCGUCUGCCCUGGGUGAGCACGAGAAUUAGUAGUUCUCAGCAGAUGUGUGAUGACUGCAUUAACGUAUGAGGGAACAAAUGACGACAAAAAUGAAUAAACGGACCGAGGAACAGUAACACACGGAGAGAGAAGAGAAGCACAGACCUUCAUUCCAGCCAACGAGAGCAUGUUGUUCAGUUUGUACAUCCCAGACUGCACCGGUGUGGUAUACAACAGGGCAUCGUUAAACUGCAAGAAGAAACAUUUCAAGGACAUG
This is a long non-coding RNA of Sus scrofa (pig), 336 nucleotides long. RefSeq lists it as uncharacterized. The record is from RefSeq and is a predicted model, not a curated record. Lineage: Eukaryota; Metazoa; Chordata; Mammalia; Artiodactyla; Suidae.